This 390-nucleotide ribosomal RNA is filed under the name uncultured bacterium. Its description in RNAcentral is "bacterial SSU rRNA". It matches the Rfam family "Bacterial small subunit ribosomal RNA", at positions 29 to 414 of the family's 1533-position model. The record is from RNAcentral.
AUUGAACGCUGGCGGCAGGCCUAACACAUGCAAGUCGAACGGCAGCGGGGGGAAGCUUGCUUCCCCGCCGGCGAGUGGCGGACGGGUGAGUAAUGCCUGGGGAGCUGCCCAAUCGAGGGGGAUACCAGUUGGAAACGACUGCUAAUACCGCAUACGCCUCGAGGGGGAAAGAUGGGGAUCUUCGGACCUAUCGCGAUUGGAUGCACCCAGGUGGGAUUAGCUAGUUGGUGAGGUAACGGCUCACCAAGGCGACGAUCUCUAGCUGGUCUGAGAGGAUGACCAGCCACACUGGAACUGAGACACGGUCCAGACUCCUACGGGAGGCAGCAGUGGGGAAUAUUGCACAAUGGGGGAAACCCUGAUGCAGCCAUGCCGCGUGUGUGAAGAAGG